This is a long non-coding RNA of Oncorhynchus nerka (sockeye salmon), 2020 nucleotides long. RefSeq lists it as uncharacterized. Lineage: Eukaryota; Metazoa; Chordata; Actinopteri; Salmoniformes; Salmonidae. The transcript has 4 exons. The record is from RefSeq and is a predicted model, not a curated record.
UCCUGUAGAGAGCAGUAGACAUUUUGAUAAAACUCUCUUGGCUGCAUACUGCACGCACCCAUACUGUAAAGGAGAGGGGCCUAAUGUAGUAUUGCUGUCUGUUACGUUUCCCGGUCGUAGCAGCGGAACGAGAACGGUGCUAAAAUGUCCAUAGUGGAAAACCAGAGUAUUAAGAGCUCAUUUACUCCGUUUCUGAAAUAGUCUGCUCAACGCAGCGUGCUUAAGGAUGGUUGGUUAACGUUUCCCGUCUGAUAAAUUCUAAACUGCGUUGUUCGUUAAAUUCCUGACCAGGAGAUACGUACGACUACCACCGGUAGACAGGGAAACUGGUUGGAUUUGACACUUGUAUCGGCCCGGGACUGCCAUGGAAAAGACACCUACUUUAUUCGUCUGCGGCAAGGUGCAGGCAGACUGAUCCACUGGAAAGCACCUUUUCUGGGAGGUAGACAAGGACAGAGCGGUGGUGCACGUCUCAGAGGCUUUGAGACCCAGGGCUUGCCGAUCUAGUGGGUUGCUGCCAAAAACCAACACGGAAAGAGCCUGAAACAGUUUGCCUGGGUGGCAGCAUCACAUCUUCAGACCCAGGAAAACGGCACGCCUGGGAGGCAGUCAAAACCAGAAAGCUGCAUGCUUGGGGGACAGUCACUUACAUUAAACAGCACAGCGGCAGGCCUGAAUGGUUUGGGGAACUUAAGAGGAGCGCUCUGCAUUAGGGGCUGAGAUGGACUAAUAAGGGAGCCUGGGUUGCAUCAUCGGCCAAUAAUAGCUCACCACGAGGAAAGGGCUGUAAAGAAGAACAGUAAGACCCAGCAGAGCGCGGUGAUCAGAACAAUCCACAGUAUCUUUGAUGAAGGGCCAGGAGUUGAUCUACACUGCCAUGCUGGCAAAGACCUUACCUCCAGUCUCACCUCUUGCCCGCUCACCAACGGUCGUCGACGGGGGGACCAGAUUUAGCACAUCACGUGUUAGACCCUAGAACUGGGGGUGGGCUUGCCCCACCGAUGUUCCACACAACCAUCUCCGGGGAACGGGUCACUGCUGCCAUCCAUCGAUGGCCGUCGUUUGACGGGGAAAAUUGCGAAUGCUGAGCAGGCUAGUGAGGUUGGGGCCCGCCCUCAGUCUCCGCUCUUUGGCUACUGGAUGGAAUUGAGGUGAAUGGAGCCCAUUUCCAACGUUGAGGACCCCAACUCAUCAGAGGGAGAUGUGAAACGGUCAGUCCAUGUUCCUCCCAGUCCCCUGGUGUGUACGAGGGGGAUUUCUGUGUGUGGGUUUGUAACAACAACGUCCGUAACAUUUCAGAUACACAAUAAAGCACUUAGUUCAUCCCAAAGGAUUUUUUAACGCUGCCUCUGAGGAUUGCAUAACGGUGUGUCAUAUGUAGAGAGGAAGAGAGAGAAGUUAUAUAAUGCAAUUUAAUGUAUAAAUCUGGAGAUCCAGAUUUAUACAUCCAGUUACACACACACACACACAUAGGCUUGGACGCUCACACACACUCCAUAGAUCUACAGUAAACACAAUGUAAAAAUGAGUGGAGGAAUGUAGAGGGAGUUGUAGAGAAGCACUGCCUCCUGCCAACACGUGCCCUCACAUUCGUAGCGCCUUCCUUCUCAUUAAAUGUGCAGAUGCUGAAUUUUUCCAGCAUAUUCGAGUCACAUUUUUAAAUGAGCACAGACCGCGGUAGAGAAAUACAAACAUUAGAUUUAAGAUCUGUGUGUGUCGAAUGUACUGUAUUUUAUGUUAAUGAAAGGAUAUAUGGAUUAUUUUGCCUAUACUACAGAGGAUGUGGUGGAGGUGUAUGGUGUGUGAGUGUUUGUGUUUAUGUGUGCAUGCGUUCGUGUGUGUGUGUGUGUUCACAGUGCAGGGAUUAACAUAACAGAGUGUAGGAUUAGGAGUAAGGGGUGGUCAGAUGGAACGGCAGGAAAGCGGAGGACAACUCUGGACACAUCCAUAUGUGACGCCAGCAGGGGAUUGUCUCUGGUGUGUCGCUAUUUAUGUUUCGAUGUGUGUGUGUGUGUGUCGC